RNAcentral lists this ribosomal RNA (386 nucleotides) under Agama picticauda. Its description in RNAcentral is "partial 16S ribosomal RNA". It matches the Rfam family "Bacterial large subunit ribosomal RNA", at positions 1951 to 2565 of the family's 2925-position model. Lineage: Eukaryota; Metazoa; Chordata; Lepidosauria; Squamata; Agamidae. The record is from RNAcentral.
CGAAGGUAGCGAAAUCACUUGUCUCCUAAAUAGAGACCUGUAUGAAAGGCCCAAUGAGAAAGAAACUGUCUCUUGAAGUUAGCCAGUGAAACUGAUCUGCCCGUGCAAAAGCAGGCAUAACAAAACAAGACAAAAAGACCCUGUGAAACUUAAAAUAAACGCCAAUAACAUGUCGAUAUUUUUAGGUUGGGGCAACCAAAGAGAAACAAAACCUCUAAAAUACAUUAGACUAACAAGUCUAACCAAACCAACAUGACCCAGUAAAACUGAUUAAUGAACCAAGCUACUCCAGGGAUAACAGCGCCAAAUUCUUGAAGAGUCCACAUCAACAAGAAUCCCUACGACCUCGAUGUUGGAUCAGGAUAACCCAACAGCGCAAAAGCUGC